RNAcentral lists this ribosomal RNA (894 nucleotides) under Bacillus sp. 245B7_12EMRSA. Its description in RNAcentral is "bacterial SSU rRNA". It matches the Rfam family "Bacterial small subunit ribosomal RNA", at positions 53 to 929 of the family's 1533-position model. Lineage: Bacteria; Bacillati; Bacillota; Bacilli; Caryophanales; Bacillaceae. The record is from RNAcentral.
ACAUGCAAGUCGAGCGGACAGAAGGGAGCUUGCUCCCGGAUGUUAGCGGCGGACGGGUGAGUAACACGUGGGUAACCUGCCUGUAAGACUGGGAUAACUCCGGGAAACCGGAGCUAAUACCGGAUAGUUCCUUGAACCGCAUGGUUCAAGGAUGAAAGACGGUUUCGGCUGUCACUUACAGAUGGACCCGCGGCGCAUUAGCUAGUUGGUGGGGUAAUGGCUCACCAAGGCGACGAUGCGUAGCCGACCUGAGAGGGUGAUCGGCCACACUGGGACUGAGACACGGCCCAGACUCCUACGGGAGGCAGCAGUAGGGAAUCUUCCGCAAUGGACGAAAGUCUGACGGAGCAACGCCGCGUGAGUGAUGAAGGUUUUCGGAUCGUAAAGCUCUGUUGUUAGGGAAGAACAAGUGCGAGAGUAACUGCUCGCACCUUGACGGUACCUAACCAGAAAGCCACGGCUAACUACGUGCCAGCAGCCGCGGUAAUACGUAGGUGGCAAGCGUUGUCCGGAAUUAUUGGGCGUAAAGGGCUCGCAGGCGGUUUCUUAAGUCUGAUGUGAAAGCCCCCGGCUCAACCGGGGAGGGUCAUUGGAAACUGGGAAACUUGAGUGCAGAAGAGGAGAGUGGAAUUCCACGUGUAGCGGUGAAAUGCGUAGAGAUGUGGAGGAACACCAGUGGCGAAGGCGACUCUCUGGUCUGUAACUGACGCUGAGGAGCGAAAGCGUGGGGAGCGAACAGGAUUAGAUACCCUGGUAGUCCACGCCGUAAACGAUGAGUGCUAAGUGUUAGGGGGUUUCCGCCCCUUAGUGCUGCAGCUAACGCAUUAAGCACUCCGCCUGGGGAGUACGGUCGCAAGACUGAAACUCAAAGGAAUUGACGGGGGCCCGCACAAG